GGUCCGGUAGUUCAGUUGGUUAGAACGCCUGCCUGUCACGCAGGAGGUCGCGAGUUCGAGUCUCGUCCGGAUCG
RNAcentral lists this transfer RNA (74 nucleotides) under Fodinibius salinus. Its description in RNAcentral is "Bacteroidetes bacterium YIM D17 tRNA". It matches the Rfam family "tRNA". Rfam says of the family: Transfer RNA (tRNA) molecules are approximately 80 nucleotides in length. Their secondary structure includes four short double-helical elements and three loops (D, anti-codon, and T loops). RNAcentral also lists the same sequence under 6 other names. Lineage: Bacteria; Pseudomonadati; Balneolota; Balneolia; Balneolales; Balneolaceae. The record is from Rfam by way of RNAcentral.